UGGCGGCGUGCCUAAUACAUGCAAGUCGAACGCACAGCGAAAGGUGCUUGCACCUUUCAAGUGAGUGGCGAACGGGUGAGUAACACGUGGACAACCUGCCUCAAGGCUGGGGAUAACAUUUGGAAACAGAUGCUAAUACCGAAUGAAACUUAGUGUCGCAUGACACAAAGUUAAAAGGCGCUUUGGCGUCACCUAGAGAUGGAUCCGCGGUGCAUUAGUUAGUUGGUGGGGUAAAGGCCUACCAAGACAAUGAUGCAUAGCCGAGUUGAGAGACUGAUCGGCCACAUUGGGACUGAGACACGGCCCAAACUCCUACGGGAGGCUGCAGUAGGGAAUCUUCCACAAUGGGCGAAAGCCUGAUGGAGCAACGCCGCGUGUGUGAUGAAGGCUUUCGGGUCGUAAAGCACUGUUGUAUGGGAAGAACAGCUAGAAUAGGGAAUGAUUUUAGUUUGACGGUACCAUACCAGAAAGGGACGGCUAAAUACGUGCCAGCAGCCGCGGUAAUACGUAUGUCCCGAGCGUUAUCCGGAUUUAUUGGGCGUAAAGCGAGCGCAGACGGUUGAUUAAGUCUGAUGUGAAAGCCCGGAGCUCAACUCCGGAAUGGCAUUGGAAACUGGUUAACUUGAGUGCAGUAGAGGUAAGUGGAACUCCAUGUGUAGCGGUGGAAUG
RNAcentral lists this ribosomal RNA (669 nucleotides) under Leuconostoc mesenteroides. RNAcentral's name for it is "bacterial SSU rRNA". It matches the Rfam family "Bacterial small subunit ribosomal RNA", at positions 37 to 688 of the family's 1533-position model. Lineage: Bacteria; Bacillati; Bacillota; Bacilli; Lactobacillales; Lactobacillaceae. The record is from RNAcentral.